Oncorhynchus tshawytscha (Chinook salmon) is the source of this 1217-nucleotide long non-coding RNA. Lineage: Eukaryota; Metazoa; Chordata; Actinopteri; Salmoniformes; Salmonidae. The record is from Ensembl.
GAAAAUGCACCAUUAGGCCUACCUCUUUUGGGAGCAUUGUAACUACAUGGAUGAGACAAUAGAGGUCGCCUUAGACCAGGAAAAAACGCUUCUUUUUGAGAUGCAUAAUUGAAUAUUCAAAUGCAUACCCCACAAUCAUUGUUAAUCGUUAUGACGACAAGGUUGUACACUGUGUAUAUAUAUGAAUCACAAAACGCAGAAGUAAAUACAGAAUAAAUACAACGGACAUGUAUUUCUGGUUCACGUCUUAGCCACGUUUGGAGGUCCUACCUCGUGUUUCGUUUGCUUCCAUUGAGUGAGUUGAUCCAGCACCUUGCCGCUGUCCACUGACUGAAUCCUCUACCUGAUCGGCUUUGCACUGCAUUCUUCUCAGUUUUGUGUCUCCAAGCAAAAUGUCGGGUGAAAAGCCAAAGGUCUACGAAGGUGUUCGGGUGAAGAUCACGGUAAAGGAAUUGCUGGAAAAGCGCAGAGCUCGUCAAAUGAAAUUGUCAUCGGAAUGUGCAAACUCUUGGUAUCAAGAUGCUGUUGCCACACCUUCCUUAAGUCUGGUGCCAGAGCCAAGUGCACAACCCUGGCCCUGUGAGGACAACCCCAGUGACUAUGGGACAGAGUGUCUCUCAUUAUACAGUGAUAACUUCAGCUCGGCUCAACAGACUGAACCUGCAGCAUACAGUGAACCCUGCAACUACACUCAUCAACAGCCCUGGUCCCUUGGACAUAUAUUGCACAAGGACUAUAAGGAAGGACAGGCCUCCUGCUCCUCAUUAGAGACUUGGACUCCGGCCUGCACACCAGAGAAAAUUAAUCCUUUGGACACCCAUCAUCUCCCCUCCUCACUACAAGAAUACUCAGACCCUGUGGAUCCCACUUACAUAUCGCUUAAUACAAAUAUCACUCAAUAUGAUACCUCUGUGUACUCAAACCCUACUGAAUCGAGCUCUACAAUACAGUGGAUGCCCUGACCUAAGUAGCACAGGUUAUUAUGGGUCAACUUUGGACAACUGUUAUUAUAAAUGGCAAAUGUCAAGCAUGAGUCAUGUUUUAAAUACAGAGUUUCUGGAGGGUGGCGGGGAGAUGGUGGCUGGCUGGGCGCACUCUGUUCUGUGCCCCAUCUGGAGACCAACCUGAGGUUUAGGGCUGGCAGGGUCUACCAGCUGUGUGUGUGAGUGUAUGAGAGAGAGAAAGUGAGAUAAGGAACUUUUUUUUAUAGAUUGCCA